This 499-nucleotide ribosomal RNA is filed under the name uncultured bacterium. RNAcentral's name for it is "bacterial SSU rRNA". It matches the Rfam family "Bacterial small subunit ribosomal RNA", at positions 29 to 518 of the family's 1533-position model. The record is from RNAcentral.
AUGAACGCUAGCUACAGGCUUAACACAUGUAAGUCGAGGGGUAACAGGAGAGAAGCUUGCUUUCUUGCUGACGACCGGCGCACGGGUGAGUAACGCGUAUCCAACCUCCCUAGUAGCGGAUAGCCGGCGAAAGUCGGAUUAAUACGCUAUGUUCUUCGUUGAUGGCAUACUGAUGUGAAGCAAAGAUUAAUCGCUAAGGGAUGGGGAUGCGUCUGAUUAGGUAGUCGGCGGGGUAACGGCCCACCGAGCCAUCGAUCAGUAGGGGUUCUGAGAGGAAGGUCCCCCACACUGGUACUGAGACACGGACCAGACUCCUACGGGAGGCAGCAGUGAGGAAUAUUGGUCAAUGGGCGCGAGCCUGAACCAGCCAAGUAGCGUGCAGGGAAUGACUGCCCUAUGGGUUGUAAAACUGCUUUUAUCAGGGAAUAAAGUGAGGCACGUGUGCCUUUUUGUAUGUACCUGAUGAAUAAGGACCGGCUAAUUCCGUGCCAGCCGCCGC